CACGAAAGCUUGACUGUCUCCCCACUAAAAAAAGAAAUUCUUCUCUUUGUGAAGAAACGAAGAUAAAACCGUAAGACGAGAAGACCCUGUCGAGCUUAAGAAAAUUAUUAUAGGAUAUAAUAAUGCUAAUAACUACAUCUACUAUAAACCAUAUAAUAAUAUCUUUGGUUGGGGCAACCACGAAGAAAAAAAAACCUUUGUUCCUAAAAAAAAAAUUUACAAAUUUAAAAAUUUAAAAAACCAAAAGAUCCGGAAAAUACCGAUCAAAGAAAAAAGUUACCGCAGGGAUAACAGCGUUAUUCUCUUUGAGAGUUCAUAUUGACAAGAGAGUUUGCGACCUCGAUGUUGGACCGGGACACCCAAAAGGUGCAACACCCUCUAAAGGUAGGUCUGUUCAACCUUUAAAGCCCUAC
This 413-nucleotide ribosomal RNA is filed under the name Crinoidea sp. NHM_300. RNAcentral describes it as "partial 16S ribosomal RNA". It matches the Rfam family "Bacterial large subunit ribosomal RNA", at positions 2003 to 2599 of the family's 2925-position model. The record is from RNAcentral. Lineage: Eukaryota; Metazoa; Echinodermata; Crinoidea.